AGGGAUUGCCCUAGUAACGGCGAGUGAAGCGGCAACAGCUCAAAUUUGAAAUCUGGCUUCGGCCCGAGUUGUAAUUUGCAGAGGAAGCUUUAGGCGCGGCACCUUCUGAGUCCCCUGGAACGGGGCGCCAUAGAGGGUGAGAGCCCCGUAUAGUUGGAUGCCUAGCCUGUGUAAAGCUCCUUCGACGAGUCGAGUAGUUUGGGAAUGCUGCUCAAAAUGGGAGGUAAAUUUCUUCUAAAGCUAAAUACCGGCCAGAGACCGAUAGCGCACAAGUAGAGUGAUCGAAAGAUGAAAAGCACUUUGAAAAGAGGGUUAAAUAGCACGUGAAAUUGUUGAAAGGGAAGCGCUUGUGACCAGACUUGCGCCGGGCGGAUCAUCCGGUGUUCUCACCGGUGCACUCCGCCCGGCUCAGGCCAGCAUCGGUUCUCGCGGGGGGAUAAAGGCCCUGGGAACGUAGCUCCUCCGGGAGUGUUAUAGCCCAGGGCGUAAUGCCCUCGCGGGGACCGAGGACCGCGCAUCUGCAAGGAUGCUGGCGUAAUGGUCAUCAGCGACCCGUCUUGAAACACGGACCAAGGAGUCAAGGUUUUGCGCGAGUGUUUGGGUGUAAAACCCGCACGCGUAAUGAAAGUGAACGUAGGUGAGAGCUUCGGCGCAUCAUCGACCGAUCCUGAUGUUUUCGGAUGGAUUUGAGUAGGAGCGUUAAGCCUUGGACCCGAAAGAUGGUGAACUAUGCUUGGAUAGGGUGAAGCCAGAGGAAACUCUGGUGGAGGCUCGCAGCGGUUCUGACGUGCAAAUCGAUCGUCAAAUCUGAGCAUGGGGGCGAAAGACUAAUCGAACCAUCU
RNAcentral lists this ribosomal RNA (842 nucleotides) under Arxotrichum officinarum. Its description in RNAcentral is "Myceliophthora officinarum partial large subunit ribosomal RNA". It matches the Rfam family "Eukaryotic large subunit ribosomal RNA", at positions 70 to 945 of the family's 3401-position model. The record is from RNAcentral. Lineage: Eukaryota; Fungi; Ascomycota; Sordariomycetes; Sordariales; Chaetomiaceae.